GCUACCAGAUUGAGUUUUGAGUGGCAACAUCCCUUUCUCAUUUCUUGAUGCAUAACACCUCUCUUUCCUUUACUCUGGGCACACAAGCCCAUAUGAUACUUUGUCGUCUAGCAUGUGUCUCCCUUCUCUUUCUUGCGACAGGUUUCAGUUUUCUCCAUCUUGCUCUAAUUUUCUCAAAUCCCAACACCCAUGGGCAGAUGGACUAUUGACAAAAGUAGUGAUC
RNAcentral lists this long non-coding RNA (223 nucleotides) under Elaeis guineensis (African oil palm). Its description in RNAcentral is "long non-coding RNA (EGUI_LNC022126)". Lineage: Eukaryota; Viridiplantae; Streptophyta; Magnoliopsida; Arecales; Arecaceae. The record is from RNAcentral.